GACGAACGCUGGCGGCGUGCCUAAUACAUGCCAGUCGAACGAACCGCGACUAGGUGCUUGCACUUGGUCAAGGUGAGUGGCGAACGGGUGAGUAACACGUGGGUAACCUACCUCAUAGUGGGGGAUAACAGUCGGAAACGACUGCUAAUACCGCAUAGGACAUAGGAUCACAUGAUCCAGUGAGGAAAGGUGGCGCAAGCUAUCGCUAAGAGAUGGACCCGCGGUGCAUUAGCUAGUUGGUAGGGUAAAGGCCUACCAAGGCGAUGAUGCAUAGCCGACCUGAGAGGGUGAUCGGCCACAUUGGGACUGAGACACGGCCCAAACUCCUACGGGAGGCAGCAGUAGGGAAUCUUCCGCAAUGGACGCAAGUCUGACGGAGCAACGCCGCGUGAGUGAAGAAGGUCUUCGGAUCGUAAAGCUCUGUUGUUAGAGAAGAACAGCGCAUAGAGUAACUGUUAUGCGUGUGACGGUAGCUAACCAGAAAGCCACGGCUAACUACGUG
This 502-nucleotide ribosomal RNA is filed under the name uncultured bacterium. Its description in RNAcentral is "partial 16S ribosomal RNA". It matches the Rfam family "Bacterial small subunit ribosomal RNA", at positions 28 to 507 of the family's 1533-position model. The record is from RNAcentral.